Molecule: long non-coding RNA, 2520 nt
Organism: Triticum aestivum (bread wheat)
Lineage: Eukaryota; Viridiplantae; Streptophyta; Magnoliopsida; Poales; Poaceae
Exons: 8
Source: RefSeq, a predicted model, not a curated record
UCCCUCCAUGCCCCGAACCCUCGACCUACCUAUCCCAGGCUCUCAGCCUCCCUCCCUGCACCGCCGCUAGCACCUCCAUCCCUAGCUGGCCGCCAUCACACCCCCAGCAGCCAUGUACAGCGGGGCGGCCCAAGGAAAGGAGCUCCCCUCCCCGACCCGAUCUGAUGGAGAGAACGCCAGGCCUUGCCACUCCGGUUGUCGCUGUGGCCAGAUCCGAUCGUGGGAGCCGCCGUAGAGCCUCCAUGUCGGCGGAGCAGAGCAGUCCGACAGUGGUGGGUGCCCGAUCUCGUCCAGCAAGUCGCCGUUGGUUGCCACGACCACCUCAUUCCCUGUCGCCCCUCUCCUUCAACCAUGGUGGCGCUCCUCCCCGCAUUGCCGUCGUUGGUGGAGCUCGCCUCACCCUCCUCACCCCGUCAGCUGCAACCGCUCCUUACCUCCACGGUGCUCCUCUUCUACAUCCAACGCAGGCCAGUGAACGGCGACGACUAGGAGGCCUCUACCUCGACUCUACCGGCCGUGGUCGCCCCGCGUCUCCGCGCCCCCGCCCCUUAGCAUCGCGUCGACGCGUCGCAUCCCUCUCAACGAAGAGAGGAAGAGGUGUACGAGAGUGGGGAGAACGCUGUUCGCGGGGCCUCCAAGCACAAAGACACAAGAGGAGAAGCGGAUGUGACGGAAAUCUCACAAUCGCAUCUCCCGUCUCUCUCAUGUCAAGUCAGGUGACGAAGACCGGCGACUGCGACCACGCUCUACCAUCGUGCAUGUCUCUCCGCCUAUCUUCCCGCCCCUCUUCGCUUGUCUAUCCUUGAAUUCAGAAUUUCGCUAUCAUUGGUGACCACUGCAUCAUCAUCAUCGAUGGAGAUGCUAUUGAUGUCGAUGAACAUGGCUGUGUAAAAGGUGCAAGUCAUCAUCGAUAAAUGGGGCAAGGACAUGGAUGGUAUUCAUGUGAGGGGAACAUGCUGGAGCAAAGGAUCUGCGUCACGGUCUUAUUUCAUUGCUGAAAAUCACAAGGAUGUAGUGGGGUGUGUCUGCCAUGAACGAGGUGCACCUGGGUAUGAUCUUGCCAUGAACAUGACAGCUUAUCAAGUUUCGUCAGAGUUAUGUUUUGGUUGGCUGAUAGCUUGCAAGAUCUUCAUCUUCUACUAUCUGCUUCCUUCGGUUUGUGUAGUCUACAUAGUAGGCCAUCAUCCAGAAAGGAAGCGAUGGAUUAAAACUUGUGGGUUUAUGGCUCUUUCCUCGUGAAGAGUAUUCCGGGAAGUACGAGCUCAACUUUCAGGUUCAUCGGCUUAGGUGUCGUGCCUGCUCGGAAAGGAUGUGAUGGAGAUGGUGCACACGAACUGAUAUUUCUUAUAAGAAAGAGAAAUCAACAAGGUGCUUGGAAUUGGAAUGUUUUCAUUCUUUGAGUUUUGGUCAUUUUAAAGGAAUGAAGGGAAGGGAAGACGUGAGGAGAAAGCUCUACCUGCACAGGACACAAGAUCCGUGCCGGGAAUUCGGUUGUGCUUGUAUGUUACUGUAGAGCGACCAUUUCAGGGUGGAUGUUGAUGGUCUCAGAUUGAUUCGAUGCUGCAGCGAGUGAAGAUGGCCUCUUUUGGGGUGAGGCACAACUAUAGUUGCACAGCUAAAGUUCCUAUGUUCAAAGGUUAUAACUCCUUGUCCUUUGUAGUUUGGAUUUUGGAAUAAUUAUCCUGGAUAGAUGCUAGAAUGGGAGAAAUACCCAACAAAACACAAAUUUAGCAAUGGACAUGCAUGUCUUUUAAUCACUUCGGCUUGCUUCUAUUGUUUGUGUUUUCAUCUGGUAUGGGCUUUGAAGCAUGCCGUCGUCAGAAAGAAUCCAUCAUUUUGUCAAAAUAUUGGAUGUAUAACUAAUUCCAUGUUUGUGUUUUCAGCUGGUAUGGGCUUGCACUAAUGAUGUAUUAAAACAUUGAUCUGAUGGCAGGAAGAUCCAAGAUGGUACUGUAUGGUUCUUGUGUUAACCCUCUUGUAGAUAUUGAAAUGCAUGAAAGUCACAUUAGAUUAUGUAUUGAAACAUAUACAAGGUUUUCUCUACCAAAGUAUAUAUUGUGUUUCUAUUGUUUGCCUGAGUAAUCUGAAUUCACCUUAUAUUGUUGAAGUUAUUGGUCUAUCAAUUAUUUAUCUGUAUUUCAUUUUGCCAAAAAAGCAAACAAACAGAAGAGCCAAACAUUGCAUGCUUCGACAGACGAAACCUGCCCACGGAGGUGGUGGCGCCGGUGGUAGGCGGCAAUGAGGCAACAACGCUUCAUGAGGCGGUCAAGUCUGUGGUCGUGAGCCGAUGCAUCCACCAACGCCGCAAUCGAGUCAACUUCAGGACUCCAUUAGUGAUAGUUGGCUGUGUUAAAGGAAAAAAUUAUUAGGAUAAUAGAAACUGUUGGGAUAAUUUCUUUCUAUAGUGGAUGAAGUUAUUUCAAGUAACAUAUCUUGGUUUCUCCCUGUAGUCGUGUACUUAAGAAAAGCUCCAACACAAUGAAAUGGCAGCAAAGAAGCCCGUAUUAUGUUAGCACAAAA